GUUUCUGUAGUUGAGGAAGACAACGAUGGCUUUUCAAGCCAUAGGGCUUGGAUAGAGACCAGGCAGAAAUU
RNAcentral lists this transfer RNA (71 nucleotides) under Archilochus colubris. RNAcentral's name for it is "tRNA-Glu". It matches the Rfam family "tRNA". Rfam says of the family: Transfer RNA (tRNA) molecules are approximately 80 nucleotides in length. Their secondary structure includes four short double-helical elements and three loops (D, anti-codon, and T loops). Further hydrogen bonds mediate the characteristic L-shaped molecular structure. tRNAs have two regions of fundamental functional importance: the anti-codon, which is responsible for specific mRNA codon recognition, and the 3' end, to which the tRNAs corresponding amino acid is attached (by aminoacyl-tRNA synthetases). tRNAs cope with the degeneracy of the genetic code in two manners: having more than one tRNA (with a specific anti-codon) for a particular amino acid; and 'wobble' base-pairing, i.e. permitting non-standard base-pairing at the 3rd anti-codon position. Lineage: Eukaryota; Metazoa; Chordata; Aves; Apodiformes; Trochilidae. The record is from RNAcentral.